Molecule: ribosomal RNA, 448 nt
Filed under: uncultured bacterium
Lineage: Bacteria
Description: bacterial SSU rRNA
Rfam family: Bacterial small subunit ribosomal RNA
Source: RNAcentral
GGCCAGACUCCUACGGGAGGCAGCAGUGGGGAAUAUUGCACAAUGGGGGAAACCCUGAUGCAGCGGCGCCGCGUGAGUGAGGAAGUAUUUCGGUAUGUAAAGCUCUAUCAGCAGGGAAGAAAAAAUGACGGUACCUGACUAAGAAGCACCGGCUAAAUACGUGCCAGCAGCCGCGGUAAUACGUAUGGUGCAAGCGUUAUCCGGAUUUACUGGGUGUAAAGGGAGCGCAGGCGGUACGGCAAGUCUGAUGUGAAGGCCCGGGGCUCAACCCCGGUACUGCAUUGGAAACUACCGGACUGGAGUGUCGGAGGGGUAAGUGGAAUUCCUAGUGUAGCGGUGAAAUGCGUAGAUAUUAGGAGGAACACCAGUGGCGAAGGCGGCUUACUGGACGAUCACUGACGCUGAGGCUCGAAAGCGUGGGGAGCAAACAGGAUUAGAUACCCCUGUA